Molecule: ribosomal RNA, 355 nt
Filed under: Rasamsonia argillacea
Lineage: Eukaryota; Fungi; Ascomycota; Eurotiomycetes; Eurotiales; Trichocomaceae
Description: partial 28S ribosomal RNA
Rfam family: Eukaryotic large subunit ribosomal RNA
Source: RNAcentral
GGGUGGUAAAUUUCAUCUAAAGCUAAAUAUGGGCCGGAGACCGAUAGCGCACAAGUAGAGUGAUCGAAAGAUGAAAAGCACUUUGGAAAGAGAGUUAAACAGCACGUGAAAUUGUUGAAAGGGAAGCGCUUGCGACCAGACUCGCCCGGGGGGGCUCAGCCGGCACUCGUGCCGGUGCACUCCCCCCCGGGCGGGCCAGCGUCGGUUUGGGCGGCCGGUCAAAGGCCCCCGGAAUGUGUCGCCCUCCGGGGCGUCUUAUAGCCGGGGGUGCAAUGCGGCCAGCCCAGACCGAGGGACGCGCUUCGGCUCGGACGCUGGCGUAAUGGUCGUAAGCGGCCCGUCUUGAAACACGGAC